Molecule: long non-coding RNA, 235 nt
Filed under: Brassica rapa (field mustard)
Lineage: Eukaryota; Viridiplantae; Streptophyta; Magnoliopsida; Brassicales; Brassicaceae
Description: long non-coding RNA (BRAP_LNC002868)
Source: RNAcentral
CGCCUUUGCAGUGUAUUACGACCCCUUCCCGCCAAGACUCGGCGUGACUCAAUCUUACCGGCGCCUCUAUUCUUACCCUGCCAUUUUUAUCCGAUGCUAUGGCCCCGCUUCUCCGCCGUUUUUGAACGCUACGGCCGCCGCGUUUCAUUUCUUUCCACCCUUCCCCGGGUACUUUAUUCCACCCUUCUUGGGUAACUUAUUCCACCCUUCCCGGGUACUUUUCUAAUCAUUCAUU